Molecule: ribosomal RNA, 253 nt
Filed under: uncultured bacterium
Lineage: Bacteria
Description: partial 16S ribosomal RNA
Rfam family: Bacterial small subunit ribosomal RNA
Source: RNAcentral
UACGUAGGUGACCAGCGUUGUCCGGAUUUACUGGGCGUAAAGAGCGCGCAGGCGGUCGUUCAAGUCGAGUGUGAAAGCCCCCGGCUCAACUGGGGAGGGUCACUCGAUACUGAUCGACUUGAAGGCAGGAGAGGGAAGCGGAAUUCCCGGUGUAGUGGUGAAAUGCGUAGAUAUCGGGAGGAACACCAGUGGCGAAGGCGACUUCCUGGCCUGUUCUUGACGCUGAGGCGCGAAAGCUGGGGGAGCAAACGGG